Molecule: long non-coding RNA, 558 nt
Organism: Fukomys damarensis (Damara mole-rat)
Lineage: Eukaryota; Metazoa; Chordata; Mammalia; Rodentia; Bathyergidae
Exons: 4
Source: RefSeq, a predicted model, not a curated record
UCGGAACUCCUUGGGGGGAUAGGGAGGUGUCCCUGUCUUUUCCUAUGGGCCUCUAUCCCUACAAAGUGCUGAAAUCUGGCCGCAGGGUGGCAGUGUUGAGGUGCUGGAAACUUCAAGAGCUGGAGGUCUAGUGGAGGGUGAUGACUGGGUUAGCUUUCUCCUCAAAGUGAGGUGUCGGUCUUGUGUGGCUGGAUUAGUUCUCUAGAGAGUGAGUUAUUAUAAAAUGAGGCUUCCCACAUGCUCAGUCUCUUGCUACUUCUCUAUCAAAUCACACGGAAAAUUACAGACUAGUGACUGUACCAAAUUUUGAACCAAAUGUCAACAUAACCUUGUAAAUAGAGGUCUGUCCGAAACUAAUGGUGAGAGCUUCUUUUCUCAAGCCCCUAGCGCAGCUGCUAAGGCUGCAGCCAGAGUGCCUGAUUUCCAAGCAGUAGGAAGAAAGCAGGAAGAAGGGCACAGAAGUUGUGUGUCAGCCUGGUGAGCACCUUUUAAGUGUCCUGUGCUGACAUUUCACAGGAAUUCCACUACUAGAUCAACCAUGAUUGAUAAAAAACAGUC